UUAUUAUUAUUAUUAUUAUUAUUAUUAUUAUUAUUAUUAUUAUUAUUAUUAUUAUUAUUAUUAUUAUUAUUAUUAUUAUUAUUAUUAUUAUUAUUAUUAUUAUUAUUAUAUCUAGAAUGUUAUUGCUUUGUUUUGAAUUUACUUAAUGAAAUAAAUUGUUUGUUUUUUUAUCAUUAAUUAACGAAUGAGUGAAAAUUAAUGGCGAGAUAUUUUUUUUUUGAGUGAAUAAAUAAAUAAAUAAAUAAAUAAAUAAAUGAUUAAUUGAA
Molecule: long non-coding RNA, 266 nt
Organism: Portunus trituberculatus (swimming crab)
Lineage: Eukaryota; Metazoa; Arthropoda; Malacostraca; Decapoda; Portunidae
Exons: 2
Source: RefSeq, a predicted model, not a curated record